AGAGUUUGAUCAUGGCUCAGAGUGAACGCUGGCGGCGUGCUUAACACAUGCAAGUCGAACGAGAACGGUACUAGCUUGCUAGUAUGUCAGCUAAGUGGCGGACGGGUGAGUAAUAUAUAGUUAAUUUGCCCCUUAGAGAGGGAUAACAGUUAGAAAUGACUGCUAAUACCUCAUACUCCUUCUACCUUAAUGAUAGUUGGGAAAUGUUUUUUCGCUAAGGGAUGAGACUAUAUGGUAUCAGGUAGUUGGUAGGGUAAGAGCCUACCAAGCCUAUGACGCCUAGCUGGUCUGAGAGGAUGAUCAGCCACACUGGAACUGAGACACGGUCCAGACUCCUACGGGAGGCAGCAGUGGGGAAUAUUGCACAAUGGAGGAAACUCUGAUGCAGCAACGCCGCGUGGAGGAUGACGCAUUUCGGUGUGUAAACUCCUUUUAUAUGGGAAGAUAA
Molecule: ribosomal RNA, 448 nt
Filed under: uncultured Campylobacterota bacterium
Lineage: Bacteria; Pseudomonadati; Campylobacterota
Description: bacterial SSU rRNA
Rfam family: Bacterial small subunit ribosomal RNA
Source: RNAcentral